CGGGGGUGGGGCGGGGAGGGGGCUCAGCCAUCCGCCCCCAUUCACAAAGUCAGGAUCGCGGCACCCCGGCCCACCCGGCCCUGCGCCUGCGCGUUCCCGCCCGCGUGUCUCCCGCCCUGGGUCCGGAGCGCAUGCGCGGCCGAGGGCGGGUCUUCCCCCUCCCUCCCAGCGCCCCGCGAAAGCUCUCACCUCCCCCACGUCAAAGAACAAAGAACGUCUAGAGCGCCGGGUCCCUGAGGAAGGCUGAGCUGUCAGGGCACCGACCUGCCCGCGUCUGCAGGUUCUCCUUCCAUUUCUUCUUCCCGGUCCCCGAGCUGCAGCGAGCCCCCCCCCCCCUCCGGCGCCCGGAAUCCGCGCUGCGUCAGCCGGAGCCUCGCGGGGAGAAAGAAGGCUUUGGAGUAGGGUCGAGGGGCGACGGAGGGGGGUCCUUGAUGGGGUCACCCAGAGACCGCUGCCACAGUAAAGCAAUCUUGACUGGAGGGGGGGGCGUCCUGGCAAAGAAGCAGCCCAGGGGUGCUGGCGUGCUCCUCGUGGGAACCGGUGGCGCGGCGCACCCGUGGGCUCUGUCUGCCCAGGGCCCCGCCUACGGGCCACCCUGCCCCCAGGGCCCUUACACGUGCCCUGACCCGCAUCCCUUGGGUCUCUAGCGCGCCCCGGAUAGCUUCUUCCUGCGCGUUUUCGUGGUUCCAGACGGCGAGGGUCGAACUCUUUCACUGUCCUGACAAGCGCUGCCUCCAGACGACGGCUGGGGGUCCGCCCUGGCUCCUGACGCUAGGGCUGGGGAGAAAGCUAGCUGUCUAUUAUCCGGAAGUCAGAGUUCUGGGUGAUUAAGGGUAAACAGGAAGCCCGCGCCAGUGACGGGGUCCCAGGAAGACCCCGAGGCCGCGGGCGGGCCUCACUCUUCACUCCUGUUCCUGGAGCCCAGUGGGGGGAGCACGUGGGGUUCCUUACCAGCGGCGGGGCUGACAGAAGGUUCACGAAUAGCACUGUGGGGACGAUGCAGACAAACCCACAGCAGUAGGACGGCACGUGAAAUAACCAGCCGAAAAUUAACAGGAAGCCCUGUGCAAACCAAGUGUUACCUUCGGAGGUGGCUUCAGUUGCUGAAGGUGUCCCCCCCCCCCCCCACGUUCCCCUUGCGGCUCCCUGCAUUUCACGGGGGAAGCUGUCCCGUCUCAGCGUCAGCGGCCAACCCCCACGCCCACGAAGAUGCCCAAGGACCGCGGCCUCCCCCAGACUCGCCUCACCUACAGCUCUGCUGACUUUGCCACCUAAAACCCACGGCACCGAGCUCCACGUCCCAGAGCCCCGGAUUGGAUAAAGGACAUCGGGAGCCCACAGGAAGGCUCCCCGUCUGCCCGUCCGGCGGCCUCACGCGUGGCCUGCGCUCCAAAUUCCCCCCUGACCUCAGGCCACAGCACGGCCGCUCCUCUGCCUCCUCCGGAGCCCCUCCCGGCCGAAUUCGCCUUCGCCCCCCUGCAAGACUCCGCCCAAGGGCCUUCAAGCAGUCACUUCCACCCGGAGGAGAGGCAGCCCAGGCCCGCACAGCUUGGUGGGCCCCCCUCCGCUGGAGGAGCCUUCCCCACGCUGGCCGCCCCCCGCCAGGCUGGACUCCGGCAGGCGGGGCCCACGCUGUCUGUGGCUCUUCCCACACGGCGGCAUCCUCCCCCCACCCUGCGGGAACCGGGCUGAUCCUUCAAGACCCAGCCAGCACCGCCCAGGUCGCCGUCACCCGUGCAUACUCGUCACAGAGCCGCGUCCCCCCGCACACCGCGGGACCGAGACUGUUCCGCGGUGAGAAGGAUCUGAGGCGACUUUGAUCGAAACUUCACAAAGACUGAUUUCCCGGGAGUCCCGGAUUAGUUGAGAGCCAGAGGCUUAAAAUUAUACAUUCACUCAUUCAA
Long non-coding RNA from Leopardus geoffroyi (Geoffroy's cat), 1904 nucleotides. RefSeq lists it as uncharacterized. NCBI's taxonomy places the organism in Eukaryota, Metazoa, Chordata, Mammalia, Carnivora, Felidae. The record is from RefSeq and is a predicted model, not a curated record. The transcript is spliced from 2 exons.